UUAACUCAAAUUUGUAUGGAGUUUGAACGUUUGCUUACGUUUGCCUCUAGGGACGCUGUUCCAACUACAUACAAAUGUGAGUUA
Bombyx mori (domestic silkworm) is the source of this 84-nucleotide non-coding RNA. The record is from Rfam. Lineage: Eukaryota; Metazoa; Arthropoda; Insecta; Lepidoptera; Bombycidae.